Molecule: ribosomal RNA, 401 nt
Filed under: uncultured bacterium
Lineage: Bacteria
Description: bacterial SSU rRNA
Rfam family: Bacterial small subunit ribosomal RNA
Source: RNAcentral
UAUUGCACAAUGGGCGAAAGCCUGAUGCAGCAACGCCGCGUGAGGGAUUACGGCCUUCGGGUUGUAAACCUCCUUUAGUAGGGAAGAAGCGAAAGUGACGGUACCUGCAGAAAAAGCACCGGCUAAAUACGUGACAGCAGCCGCGGUAAUACGUAGGGUGCAAGCGUUGUCCGGGAUUAUUGGGCGUAAAGAGCUCGUAGGCGGUUUGUCGCGUCUGCUGUGAAAUCCCGGGGCUCAACCUCGGGCUUGCAGUGGGUACGGGCAGACUAGAGUGCGGUAGGGGAGAUUGGAAUUCCUGGUGUAGCGGUGGAAUGCGCAGAUAUCAGGAGGAACACCGAUGGCGAAGGCAGAUCUCUGGGCCGUAACUGACGCUGAGGAGCGAAAGCGUGGGGAGCGAACAG